CCUACGUGUGGCAGCAGUGAGGAAUAUUGGUCAAUGGCCGGAAGGCUGAACCAGCCAAGCCGCGUGAAGGACGAAGGUGCCAAGCAUUGUAAACUUCUUUUGUCAAGGGACCAAAUCAGGCUCGAGAGCCUGACCGAGGGUACUUGAAGAAAAAGCAUCGGCUAACUCCGUGCCAGCAGCCGCGGUAAUACGGAGGAUGCGAGCGUUAUCCGGAUUUAUUGGGUUUAAAGGGUGCGUAGGCGGGCUGUUAAGUCAGCGGUAAAAGCCCGGGGCUCAACCCCGGCGAGCCGUUGAAACUGGCAAACUGGAGUGUGUGAGAGGAUAGUGGAAUUCCAGGUGUAGGAGUGAAAUCCGUAGAUAUCUGGAGGAACAUCAGUGGCGAAGGCGACUAUCUGGCACAUAACUGACGCUGAGGAGCGAAAGCGUGGGUAGCAAACAGGAUUAGAUACCCCGGUAGUC
This 459-nucleotide ribosomal RNA is filed under the name uncultured bacterium. RNAcentral describes it as "partial 16S ribosomal RNA". It matches the Rfam family "Bacterial small subunit ribosomal RNA", at positions 338 to 795 of the family's 1533-position model. The record is from RNAcentral.